UUGACCUCGGAUUAGGUAGGAAUACCCGCUGAACUUAA
Molecule: ribosomal RNA, 38 nt
Filed under: Annulohypoxylon truncatum
Lineage: Eukaryota; Fungi; Ascomycota; Sordariomycetes; Xylariales; Hypoxylaceae
Also listed under: 5 other names
Description: partial 28S ribosomal RNA
Source: RNAcentral